GAUUGGGUCCUGUGCAAUCAGUACCCGUGAACCGAGUCAGGGCCGGAAGGCAGCAGCUCUCAGCGAAUUCCGCUGUGUGCCGCAGAUCACCUGGUCGCC
RNAcentral lists this signal recognition particle RNA (99 nucleotides) under Acidimicrobiaceae bacterium. RNAcentral's name for it is "signal recognition particle sRNA small type". It matches the Rfam family "Bacterial small signal recognition particle RNA". Rfam says of the family: The signal recognition particle (SRP) is a universally conserved ribonucleoprotein involved in the co-translational targeting of proteins to membranes. Archaeal SRP consists of a 7S RNA and homologues of the eukaryotic SRP19 and SRP54 proteins. Lineage: Bacteria; Bacillati; Actinomycetota; Acidimicrobiia; Acidimicrobiales; Acidimicrobiaceae. The record is from RNAcentral.